AACCAUAGAAACCUGCGGAGUACCUGCGGAGGGAUCAUUAACGCGCUACGGAGGUCUCUUCGAAGGAAGGGACCUACGUCCGCCCACCCUUGAUUACUUGACCUGUUGCUUUGGCGGGCUCCCCGCGAGGCGGACCCGCCAGAGUUCCCCCUAAAUUCUGGAUAAAAAAGGUUGUGCUGUCUGAGCGUGCAAGCGCAAAUCUAUAAUAAAACUUUCAACAAUGGAUCUCAGAUCGGAAGA
RNAcentral lists this unclassified non-coding RNA (240 nucleotides) under soil metagenome. Its description in RNAcentral is "partial contains 5.8S ribosomal RNA, internal transcribed spacer 2, and large subunit ribosomal RNA". The record is from RNAcentral.